UACGUAGGGGGCUAGCGUUGUCCGGAUUUAUUGGGCGUAAAGAGCGUGUAGGCGGCCAGGUAGGUCCGGUGUGAAAACUCGAGGCUUAACCUCGAGAUGUCAUCGGAAACCAUCUGGCUAGAGUCCGGAAGAGGAAAGUGGAAUUCCUGGUGUAGCGGUGAAAUACGCAGAUAUCAGGAAGAACACCAAUGGCGAAAGCAGCUUUCUGGGACGGUACUGACGCUGAGACGCGAAAGCGUGGGGAGCGAACAGG
Molecule: ribosomal RNA, 253 nt
Filed under: uncultured bacterium
Lineage: Bacteria
Description: partial 16S ribosomal RNA
Rfam family: Bacterial small subunit ribosomal RNA
Source: RNAcentral